RNAcentral lists this ribosomal RNA (497 nucleotides) under uncultured bacterium. Its description in RNAcentral is "partial 16S ribosomal RNA". It matches the Rfam family "Bacterial small subunit ribosomal RNA", at positions 28 to 507 of the family's 1533-position model. The record is from RNAcentral.
GAUGAACGCUGGCGGCGUGCCUAAUACAUGCAAGUCGAGCGAACAGACGAGGAGCUUGCUCCUCUGACGUUAGCGGCGGACGGGUGAGUAACACGUGGAUAACCUACCUAUAAGACUGGGAUAACUUCGGGAAACCGGAGCUAAUACCGGAUAAUAUAUUGAACCGCAUGGUUCAAUAGUGAAAGACGGUUUUGCUGUCACUUAUAGAUGGAUCCGCGCCGCAUUAGCUAGUUGGUAAGGUAACGGCUUACCAAGGCAACGAUGCGUAGCCGACCUGAGAGGGGGGUAGGCCACACGGGAACUGAGCCACCGUCCAGACUCCUACGGGAGGCAGCAGUAGGGAAUCUUCCGCAAUGGGCGAAAGCCUGACGGAGCAACGCCGCGUGAGUGAUGAAGGUCUUCGGAUCGUAAAACUCUGUUAUUAGUGAAGAACAAAUGUGUAAGUAACUAUGCACGUCUUGACGGUACCUAAUCAGAAAGCCACGGCUAACUACGUG